AUUGAACGCUAGAUGCAUGCCUUACACAUGCAAGUCGAACGAGUGUCGGACGGGUGAGUAAUAUAUCGGAACGUGCCCAGUAGCGGGGGAUAACUACUCGGAAGAGUGGCUAAUACCGCCUACUAUUGGAUCGGCCGAUAUAGGAUUAGCUAGUUGGUGGGGUAAAGGCUCACCAAGGCGACGAUCCGUAGCUGGUUUGAGAGGACGACCAGCCACACUGGGAUUGAGACACGGCCCAGACUCCUACGGGAGGCAGCAGUGGGGAAUUUUGGACAAUGGGGGAAACCCGGAUCCAGCCAUCCCGCGUGUAUGAGAAGGCCUUCGGGUUGUAAAGUACUUUUGGCAGAGAAGCGGUAUCUGCAGAAUAAGCACCGGCUAACUACGUGCCAGCAGCCGCGGUAAUAC
This 405-nucleotide ribosomal RNA is filed under the name uncultured bacterium. RNAcentral's name for it is "partial 16S ribosomal RNA". It matches the Rfam family "Bacterial small subunit ribosomal RNA", at positions 30 to 526 of the family's 1533-position model. The record is from RNAcentral.